GUAUACACAGCGCAAAUCGUCCUUUGUGGCCUGUCUACCGUUGGCAUCAUAGCUGGUAGUGUGGCAAUAGCUGCACAGAGUCUCCGUCUUCCUAAACUCAAGGCCUGUUUGGGGAUGCAAAUUGUUUUGUGUGUAGUGUCAAUAGACUCCUUUUUUAUGAGCUCUGGAGUAAUGAUGCACAACAAGCUACUUGAGAGCUGCUGGGACUUUCUACAUGAAAACUACACUUCUGAUCAAUACUUUAUAUGCGAAAGGCUGUCGAUUGCGUAUGAUCAUGUGAAAGGACUGGAAAUGCUAGUGCUCGGAGCUCAGAUUGCCAUCUCUGCCACUUUAUCUGCGUUCUGCUGCAAAGUUAUUCAGUGCUGUUCUCCCCGGUCCAGCAUUCCCACGAUUGUUCUGAAUGCAGCCUCAGCUCCUCAGAGACGGCCAUCCAUACAAUAAACCAUGUAAUCAUUCAUAUGCUGUUACACAUAUACACAUAUACACAUAUACACAAGUAUGUAAUGAAUUUGUAACAUUAAACACCAGUCUAGUACUAAAAGUAAUACAAUUCUGCUCACUUAGAUUUUGUAAAUCUUACUGUUCUAACACACUAAUACACAAUAUUAUGUUUAAGAGGAAAAAUAAAUACACUGUAAUUAUAUGCAUCAUAUGUAUCAUUUAGGAGUCCUAUGAAAAUGUAUAAAUUUUUUUUUCUACCUAAAAUAGUUUAGACCAUUAAUAGAGCUGCAUACACAUACAUAUACUCAAGAUUAUAUACACAAAUGAAUGUGUUAUUACACUGGACUUGUAUACCAGCCACAAAUGAUAUAUGGAUUUGAA
This 822-nucleotide long non-coding RNA is filed under the name Astyanax mexicanus (Mexican tetra). RNAcentral's name for it is "lncRNA (ENSAMXG00005019734.1)". Lineage: Eukaryota; Metazoa; Chordata; Actinopteri; Characiformes; Acestrorhamphidae. The record is from RNAcentral.